This 29-nucleotide non-coding RNA is filed under the name Rattus norvegicus (Norway rat). The record is from RNAcentral. Lineage: Eukaryota; Metazoa; Chordata; Mammalia; Rodentia; Muridae.
UUAAUAAACUGCCCCUGUUUCUAUCACUA